This 81-nucleotide transfer RNA is filed under the name Pleurotus eryngii. RNAcentral's name for it is "tRNA-Trp". Lineage: Eukaryota; Fungi; Basidiomycota; Agaricomycetes; Agaricales; Pleurotaceae. The record is from RNAcentral.
GGGCUCUUGGUGUAGUGGUUAUCACAUGUGAUUCCAGAACUUGGUUCCACAGGGUCGCCCGUUCAACUCGGGCAGAGCUCA